Long non-coding RNA from Cyprinus carpio carpio, 2266 nucleotides. The record is from Ensembl. Lineage: Eukaryota; Metazoa; Chordata; Actinopteri; Cypriniformes; Cyprinidae.
GUUCACGUGAGUUGUAAUGGCAGAGGGAGUAGUUCACUGCACACAACAGUGGGCAAUAGCAGGGAAUAGAUGUAACCACAUUAGCUAAAAGAAUUGCUUCAUAUUACAAUAAUGUGACAUAGAGCUUGUGCUAACCAUUCCGUAUUUAACACCACUGCCAGAUCCUUGCAGACCAAUAUGAACUAUACUACAUAAUGCCACGAGAACAGCUAACAAAAAUUAGAUUUCAUUAGACCGCCACCGAAAGUGGUUCAGGCAAUGGCUUACAGGAGAAAUGGGGAUUUGAAAAAGGUUAUAGUUCAGGUCAGUAUCUGUGGUUUAAUAUCAAGGCGAAAGUGGGCAUUUAACUUUCAAAUACAUACAUAAUUAAACCCAUUUUCUUUACUGACAUCAAUGAUUGAGGUUCCCGAGGUGAAAUCAGAUUUUGAAUGGCAGAUUUAUUAUAUAUACAUGUACACAUUGUAAAUUAGCUGUAAUGGAAAUAGUCCAGUAUAGAAACUAUGCAUGUACUAAAGCCAUCCGCCACAGAGAGAGAAUCACAACCCUGAUUUUCACCUACCAUUCACCCAGCCCAUAAAGCUGACAGACUGAGACAAUACAGCUACUGGCGUCUGUGCUGGGAUAAUAGAGAAUGGCCAGUAGCUGGCGGUAAUAUUGUUGGAUAAAUGAUUAUUGAUUAGAUAAAGGUUGAGAUAAUCAUUAGCCUUUAUCCAUUUCACUCAGUGUCUCUGACCUUUCUGCCUCUCUCUCUCCCUUCGUACUGGAGUUCAUAUCUGUAUGACGAUAUGAUCAUCUGUGUCACACACACACGAAUAUGGGUUAGAGAGAAUGAGGAGGAGUGAGAGAGUAAGAGGCUGGGAGAGGAGGAAAUGACAAGUGUUUUACUGUCUGUGGGAUGUGUUUGAUUAUUUAGAUUCUCUCUUUCGCUGUUUUUUCCACUGAUACUGUAUGGGGUCCUAUCCAUUAUUUUUAUUGAUUUAAUUCUUGCCAUUCUAACACAAGUAUUGUUUACUUAAUUACACUAGGGUCUGAGUGUGUGCGUGAGAGAAAGAAGACUUGGAUGCUGAAAGCACUUGACAUGUACUCACCAAAGCAAACAGAUCCAUAAUAAAUCCACUGGGGACACUAUAACAUCUUUGUAUCCAGUGUUUGUGCACAUUUGUGUGCAUGAAAGACAUAGAGAGAGAAUUCUAAUUUCAAUUUAAAAUCUAAUUUAAACCUGUAAAAAAAUAUAUAUAUAUAUAUAUAUAUUUUUAUGACACAUUAUGACAUAAAAUGGCUAUUUGACUGUGCUAUUUCUUGGUCAAAUCACGCUGGAGAACAUGAUUGUCAGGUUUUACAAUGACUUGUGGAGUUCAUGUAGAAGAAAAAAAAAAUCAUUUUAAUUUGUUAAAUUAAACUUUUCACUCUAAUAGUUACAUUUAUAUGACUUGACACAAAAAAUGGCUUUCAAAUGCUAAAUAAGUACAAAACUUGGUUACAUUUUACUUCAUGGUGUCCUUUUUACAGUGUUGUUAUACAAUUAACAAUUGUCUAACAUUUAGCAACAACAUGCACUUAUAGAGUUAGUGUUUUGCUUAGGAUUAGUUACAUGCAGUUAUGCAUAAUUUACUGUUAAAAUUACUAUAAGUAGCCUACAUAUAACGUGUAACAAGGACAGUAAAAUAUAGUGUCACUAAAAAAAUAAAAAAGAACAAUUUAGAAAUUGCUCCACUAGUACUGUAUUUUAUGUAUUUAACUUGUAUUUCAUGUAUUUAAUUUUUAUUUACAUUUAUUAUCAUUUAUGUAUCAUAUUUUGAAAACAUGAACUCUGUUAUGAAUCUUCAUAAUUUCCUGUAAUUCAAAUGACAUAAAUUUUCUUUCUUUCUUUCUUUCUUUCUUUCUUUCUUUCUUUCUUUCUUUCUUUCUUUCUUUCUUUCUUUCUUUCUUUUCUAAAUCUACUUAAAAUUUUACACUAUUUGUAUGUUUAUUUUUAAGUGUUUGUGUGAAAAAGAAGAGCGUGGAAGCACUCGGGCUGCAUUAUAACACAUUCGACUAUAGUUCCUAUGGCGGCUUUAUUUAUUGAAUUACUCUGAAUUUCCCUCUUAAUAGCCAGUUAAGCGGCAACAGACCCUGGCUAACAUCUGGCUGCAAUCAGUAGAGGAAAUCCGCUUCUUUGCCUUUUGUUCUAUUUAUUCACAAACCCAUGCUGGAAUUGCGAUGUUUAUUUAAAGUAAUACUGCCCGUACAACUACUGUACAGAGAGACAUUUGGAGAAUUACUUUUC